CCAGGCGUCGAGCGGCGGACGGGUGAGUAAUACUUAGGAAUCUGCCCAGUAGUGGGGGAUAGCUCGGGGAAACUCGAAUUAAUACCGCAUACACCCUACGGGGAAAAGGGGGCGCUUGCGCUCUCGCUAUUGGAUGAGCCUAAGUCGGAUUAGCUAGUUGGUGGGGUAAAGGCCUACCAAGGCGACGAUCUGUAGCUGGUCUGAGAGGAUGAUCAGCCACACCGGGACUGAGACACGGCCCGGACUCCUACGGGAGGCAGCAGUGGGGAAUAUUGGACAAUGGGGGCAACCCUGAUCCAGCCAUGCCGCGUGUGUGAAGAAGGCCUUUUGGUUGUAAAGCACUUUAAGCAGUGAAGAAGACCUAACGGUUAAUACCCGUUAGCGAUGACAUUAGCUGCAGAAUAAGCACCGGCUAACUCUGUGCCAGCAGCCGCGGUAAUACAGAGGGUGCAAGCGUUAAUCGGAAUUACUGGGCGUAAAGCGAGCGUAGGUGGCUUGAUAAGUCAGAUGUGAAAUCCCCGGGCUUAACCUGGGAACUGCAUCUGAUACUGUUGGGCUAGAGUAGGUGAGAGGGAGGUAGAAUUUCAGGUGUAGCGGUGAAAUGCGUAGAGAUCUGAAGGAAUACCGAUGGCGAAGGCAGCCUCCUGGCAUCAUACUGACACUGAGGUUCGAAAGCGUGGGUAGCAAACAGGAUUAGAUACCCUGGUAGUCCACGCCGUAAAACGAUGUCUACUAGUCGUUGGGGAACUUGAUUCCUUAGUGACGCAGCUAACGCAAUAAGUAGACCGCCUGGGGAGUACGGCCGCAAGGUUAAAACUCAAAUGAAUUGACGGGGGCCCGCACAAGCGGUGGAGCAUGUGGUUUAAUUCGAUGCAACGCGAAGAACCUUACCUGGUCUUGACAUAUCUAGAAUCCUGCAGAGAUGCGGGAGUGCCUUCGGGAAUUAGAAUACAGGUACUGCAUGGCUGUCGUCAGCUCGUGUCGUGAGAUGUUGGGUUAAGUCCCGCAACGAGCGCAACCCUUUUCCUUAGUUACCAGCGGUUUGGCCGGGGACUCUAAGGAUACUGCCAGUGACAAACUGGAGGAAGGCGGGGACGACGUCAAGUCAUCAUGGCCCUUACGACCAGGGCUACACACGUGCUACAAUGGUAGGUACAGAGGGCAGCUACACAGCGAUGUGAUGCGAAUCUCAAAAAGCCUAUCGUAGUCCAGAUUGGAGUCUGCAACUCGACUCCAUGAAGUAGGAAUCGCUAGUAAUCGC
Molecule: ribosomal RNA, 1261 nt
Filed under: uncultured bacterium
Lineage: Bacteria
Description: bacterial SSU rRNA
Rfam family: Bacterial small subunit ribosomal RNA
Source: RNAcentral